GUUCCUCACUUGAGCAUUGGCUCUGAAGGGUUACGAAGCUAUAAUUCUCUUGCUCGUUGGCUGGAGCGUUGACUCUGAAGGCCUCGACAUCUAAACACGGAAGGAGAAGCCUCGUCAGCUGCUGCAGGGAUGGCCUGGAUGUGGAUCCUCCUGCAGGUGGUGGCGGCCGCGUUCGCUCGGAGCCUGGGCGGGGAGGACGGCGUGCCGCUUGUCACCGGAAAGCCCAGUUGCCUCGGAGCCCUCUGCCCGCAUGUCAUAGUCCCCGGAUGUUACCCCCCCACUCUGCCCGGGGGUUGCUGUCCAGAUUGGUCACAGUGCAAAGGCAGCAGUGGUAUAGAAGUUGCAUGACUUUUGCAACCUACUGAAGAUAUUCCAGUCCUCCAGAAAAUUCCUUUUACUUCAGGAACUUCAGCAUGACCUUUAACCUUUAAGGCAGAAAAAAAAUCAUCAUCAUUCCAGCAGUGCAUUAAAAUGAGUCCUUCUUGAAAGAUAAAAGCAUAUUUUUUUUUUUUUUUUUUUAAUAUAUAGCGCUUUCUCGAAUA
Penaeus chinensis is the source of this 542-nucleotide long non-coding RNA. RefSeq lists it as uncharacterized. The transcript is spliced from 3 exons. NCBI's taxonomy places the organism in Eukaryota, Metazoa, Arthropoda, Malacostraca, Decapoda, Penaeidae. The record is from RefSeq and is a predicted model, not a curated record.